GGAGCCAUAGCUCAGCGGUAGAGCAGCUGACUGCAGAUCAGCGGGUCACGAAUUCGAUUUUCGUUGGCUCCU
Molecule: transfer RNA, 72 nt
Organism: Capsaspora owczarzaki ATCC 30864
Lineage: Eukaryota; Filasterea; Ministeriida; Capsasporidae
Rfam family: tRNA
About the family: Transfer RNA (tRNA) molecules are approximately 80 nucleotides in length. Their secondary structure includes four short double-helical elements and three loops (D, anti-codon, and T loops).
Source: Rfam